RNAcentral lists this ribosomal RNA (494 nucleotides) under uncultured bacterium. RNAcentral describes it as "partial 16S ribosomal RNA". It matches the Rfam family "Bacterial small subunit ribosomal RNA", at positions 28 to 507 of the family's 1533-position model. The record is from RNAcentral.
GACGGACGCUAGCGGCGUGCUUAACACAUGCAAGUCGAACGGUGAAGCGCCUUCCUUUUUGGUGGGUGUGGAUGAGUGGCGAACGGGUGAGUAACACGUGAGUAACCUGCCCCCUUCUUCUGGAUAACCGCAUGAAAGUGUGGCUAAUACGGGAUAUUCUGGGUCUGUCGCAUGAUGGGUCUGGGAAAGAUAUUGUUUCGGUGGGGGAUGGGCUCGCGGCCUAUCAGCUUGUUGGUGGGGUGAUGGCCUACCAAGGCGGUGACGGGUAGCCGGCCUGAGAGGGUGGACGGUCACACUGGGACUGAGACACGGCCCAGACUCCUACGGGAGGCAGCAGUGGGGAAUAUUGCACAAUGGGCGCAAGCCUGAUGCAGCGACGCCGCGUGAGGGAUGGAGGCCUUCGGGUUGUGAACCUCUUUCGCCAGUGAAGCAGGCCUGCCUCGUUUGUGGGUGGGUUGACGGUAGCUGGAUAAGAAGCGCCGGCUAACUACGUG